AACGAACGCUGGCGGCAUGCCUAACACAUGCAAGUCGAACGAGACCUUCGGGUCUAGUGGCGCGCGGGUGCGUAACGCGUGGGAACCUGCCCUUAGGUUCGGAAUAACUCCCCGAAGGGGGUGCUAAUACCGGAUAAUGUCUUCGGACCAAAGAUUUAUCGCCUUUGGAUGGGCCCGCGUUGGAUUAGCUAGUUGGUAGGGUAAAAGCCUACCAAGGCGACGAUCCAUAGCUGGUCUGAGAGGAUGAUCAGCCACACUGGGACUGAGACACGGCCCAGACUCCUACGGGAGGCAGCAGUGGGGAAUAUUGGACAAUGGGCGAAAGCCUGAUCCAGCAAUGCCGCGUGAGUGAUGAAGGCCUUAGGGUUGUAAAGCUCUUUUACCCGGGAUGAUAAUGACAGUACCGGGAGAAUAAGCUCCGGCUAACUCCGUG
RNAcentral lists this ribosomal RNA (433 nucleotides) under uncultured bacterium. RNAcentral's name for it is "partial 16S ribosomal RNA". It matches the Rfam family "Bacterial small subunit ribosomal RNA", at positions 29 to 507 of the family's 1533-position model. The record is from RNAcentral.